GUAACGAAUUUAUGUUACGACUAUGAUUUACGCAUGUCGUUGUAUUUGGUUCUUGUCUUGUGGAGUCCAGUGUCUGAUGUCAUAUAUGGUCUAGGUGUACGCGUGAGCAUGGUGUGAUGUGUGACGUUUAUGGUAUGUGGUGCAUGCAGGAGUACGCGUUGUCAGAGUGUGAGGAUGUGCUUCCGUCUGUGUGAGAGUGACUGUCAAGUGAAUGCAGUACAUGCGCAGUGCUAGUUUGGUCUGGGAAUGAGAGUCGUGUGUGAUUCGUCCGUGGUCUGGUUGUCUUGGUCUUGGUCAUGUGUUCUGUACGUAUUAGUCCCUGAUUGGUCGUCACGAUUUGUCCUCGGUUUAUUACUGCUUGUUCUUUGUUGGUCCUCUGAGUCUUUUCCCGGGAGUCUUUCCUGUUGUCCUUCCUGUCGUCUCCAAGUUUCGUCUUUCUCCUCCUGUGCCCUUUCCGUUUGUAUAAGAAGUCAGAAACUCCACCAAGUUGUUUGAGCUGUUGUGUGACAGGGGCCAGGGGGAGAAGGCAAUACUAUUUCCUUUACAUUGGCGCCCAACGUUCGCUCGACGCAGGGUACUAUCUCUGCAGCCCACGACCCUGGGAUCGUUUUGUUUUCACGGCCAUGGAGAUGGAAAGGCGUUCGCCAGCCUGGCCUGCAGGCCCCUUACCCGCCGUACAAGGUUGCCAUACGCGGAUUUCUCCAAGAUUCUGCACGGCUUCCUAUUCCAACUCGGAUCACGCAUCUCUGGCCACAACAUUCCGAUGUCUUAUCGUUUGGUUGUGUUUCCCCUUGUUUCUUUUCUCUGAUCUUUGUCCUUUGUUCUGAGAGUCGAGGUCGACUCUCGCCGGAGGGGAAGGCUGUGUAACGAAUUUAUGUUACGACUAUGAUUUACGCAUGUCGUUGUAUUUGGUUCUUGUCUUGUGGAGUCCAGUGUCUGAUGUCAUAUAUGGUCUAGGUGUACGCGUGAGCAUGGUGUGAUGUGUGACGUUUAUGGUAUGUGGUGCAUGCAGGAGUACGCGUUGUCAGAGUGUGAGGAUGUGCUUCCGUCUGUGUGAGAGUGACUGUCAAGUGAAUGCAGUACAUGCGCAGUGCUAGUUUGGUCUGGGAAUGAGAGUCGUGUGUGAUUCGUCCGUGGUCUGGUUGUCUUGGUCUUGGUCAUGUGUUCUGUACGUAUUAGUCCCUGAUUGGUCGUCACGAUUUGUCCUCGGUUUAUUACUGCUUGUUCUUUGUUGGUCCUCUGAGUCUUUUCCCGGGAGUCUUUCCUGUUGUCCUUCCUGUCGUCUCCAAGUUUCGUCUUUCUCCUCCUGUGCCCUUUCCGUUUGUAUAAGAAGUCAGAAACUCCA
This is a long non-coding RNA of Sycon ciliatum, 1345 nucleotides long. RefSeq lists it as uncharacterized. Lineage: Eukaryota; Metazoa; Porifera; Calcarea; Leucosolenida; Sycettidae. The record is from RefSeq and is a predicted model, not a curated record. The transcript has 2 exons.